RNAcentral lists this transfer RNA (63 nucleotides) under Ectatops sp. Its description in RNAcentral is "tRNA-Trp". Lineage: Eukaryota; Metazoa; Arthropoda; Insecta; Hemiptera; Pyrrhocoridae. The record is from RNAcentral.
AAAGCUUUAAGUUAACUAAACUAUUAACCUUCAAAGUUAAAAAUAUGUAUUACAUAAGCUUUA